This is a long non-coding RNA of Paramisgurnus dabryanus, 2338 nucleotides long. RefSeq lists it as uncharacterized. The record is from RefSeq and is a predicted model, not a curated record. NCBI's taxonomy places the organism in Eukaryota, Metazoa, Chordata, Actinopteri, Cypriniformes, Cobitidae.
UUCGUCGUUUUACAGCAAACUACUACUGUUACAAUGAAGACAAACGGGUUCUUCAACAAAACGGAGAUUUUUUGUUGCAAAAAUUAAAGAAAUGUCACCUUUUCCGCAUUAUAACGAGCACGAGCGCCAGUCGCGUUCUUGUACGAACAUAUAUGCCGAACGUAGUUGUUGUCACUGAUAAACUCGGCAGAACAACUGUUGGUGUAUCUGAAGAAGUUUCAAUAUACAUCUCGUCAUCUUCAGUUGGUGUUUCUGUGAAUAUAAGCAGAGUUUUCAGCACUGUUACCACAGAAUUUCCUGAAAAAUGGGUGUACGGGUUUCAGUCGUGAAUCAGACUCCUUAUACCUGGUACUUUGCCACCCAGAAUCAAGAGUAUACACGUGUCAAUCCUGGCUGCACUAAAUCAUAUAGGGAAAGAAGGAAAAUCCAUCGUUACAUCUACAUUAGAUAUGAAGAUCAUACAUGGGAUAGCUUUAAGUACGAGUUCAACACCUAUAAAUGUAACCCCUCUUUCAUCUUAAGGGAAAUCUUCGAACGAUCGGAGAUUGAGUUGCACUGCACCUCCGAGGGUGGCAGGCGUUACUGUCAAAACUACGGAAAAAGGUAAGAAGAUGAAAAGCAGAAACACUAAGAGGAGAAAAGAGGCGUUUGGAAUGGAGAGCUUUGUCAAAAGGAGCUUCACAGAGAAAGUGAAUCAACCAGACUUAGGAUGCAACAAUUAUAGAUUUUGUUGGGACAAUUAUAUGUCUGAUGAAUAAUCACGAUUGUACCAUUAUUAUGUAUUCAUUAAUUUUACUAAAUGUAUUUAUAAAAUCAAAUCACAUGAACACACUUUUGAACAAUUGUUAAAGUCUUUUGUAUUUUAAGUUUUCUGAAUUUUUUUCUACAAUUCUACAAAAACUUGAGUAAUAAAAUAACCUAACAGUAUAGCUGCCUUUUAAAGUAUAAAUAAUAUAGUCCAGAUGUGUUCAUUUUAAUUAUCUUUUUAAUAAACACAUCUCUUCCCCAUUACACAAAGACCAUAUAAUGAAAUGAUCCUGCAAAAUGUCAAUAUGACAGACCCGACUAACAGACGCAAUUCCAGUUUGACGUGAUGCUCAUCCCAGACCCGGCCCGCCUGGUGCCCAUCCUCAUGUUGCCCAACUGAUGACUUCCCAUACAGUGCCCCCCAAUCGUUCCUUGCAGCUUUGUUAAAUUCUAUAAUACAGUUAUGUCCUGUAACAGUUGCGUGAAUUAUAUUUAAUGCAAUAAGUAACACCUCAUCAUUGUCUAGACACUUUCUUUAGCAUUUAUUAUAACAAUUAAAAAUCACAUUCUUUAGCUUGCUUUUAUACAGAAAAACUAUGGAGUGCAGCUGAGAAAUGGCCCUCCCGAGAAGGGUUUUUUCUCUAUGAGUGUGUUCUUAUUUUAACCCCACUGUUGGCUUGCUUACCGGUUGACAGUAGCUUAACUUUUCUUUUGUACAAUACUGCUUUCAUUAUUAUGGUCCAAAAAUUCAUUAGUUCAUAAGUAUUAAUUAUUACAUUAUUUGUUUAGUAAAUACAUUUGAAUACAUCCAUGUACUUCAUUCUAAACUAUAUUCAAAAAUUCUCAUGCUUGCGUUGUUUUUGGUUUUCUGUUUCUACUCCAUGUUUGAACAAGGAACAAUUGUGAAAAGCGCUAUAUAAGUCAAUUUUAAACAAUAAAUUUUGAAAACAAUAUGAACUAUCAUUUUGGUGGAGUGUAUGUAAUGAGUUAUAAAAUGACAAUUAAAUAUGCUUAAGAGUCACUGUGAGAUCUGUGUUGGCUCAUAAGAGAAUUAGGAGUUGAAAUCUGUACAUAAAGAAUACAUAUGGGUAGCCAUUGUUCAACUGAAUAGGCUUUUCUGAAUAAGUUUAAUAAAGAGGCAUUAUUUAGGAAAAAACAGUUCAUACAAUAUAGAUUGCUGUAUGAUUUCCCUUUAACCAUUUUAUUGAUAAUUGCAUUGUGGGUAAAAAGUAGUGAACAAAUGUAUGGAAUGAAGUUGGCAGACACCAAAUAUAGUGCGCUAUACAGGAGAUAGGGAGCGAUUUUGGACACAGCCCUGAUUUAACUUCUUCCACCCUGAAGCUAUUUUGGCGAGUUUUACCUGGAUUUGGCCUACCCAAUUUCAAAAGCUUCCCAUACCCACAUGCAGAGGUUUACAUACAAAAGUUUGGUAUCUUUUUACAGGUAACCCUUUGAAAUGACAUAAAACACUGUUGAAAGUGCUAAACAUGGUUGUAUGUGAUAUCAGUCCUCUAAUAAACACAAAAAUAAAUAGGCGCUUUUUGAUGUUUUUUUUUCUAAAGUUUUUAUUUGAAAGUAUAUAACUCUGGCC